GAUGAACGCUGGCGGCGUGCUUAACACAUGCAAGUCGAGCGAAGCAGUUAAGUUGAUUUCUUCGGAUUGAUUCUUAACUGACUGAGCGGCGGACGGGUGAGUAACGCGUGGGUGACCUGCCCCAUACCGGGGGAUAACAGCUGGAAACGGCUGCUAAUACCGCAUAAGCGCACAGAGCUGCAUGGCUCGGUGUGAAAAACUCCGGUGGUAUGGGAUGGGCCCGCGUCUGAUUAGGCAGUUGGCGGGGUAACGGCCCACCAAACCGACGAUCAGUAGCCGGCCUGAGAGGGCGACCGGCCACAUUGGGACUGAGACACGGCCCAAACUCCUACGGGAGGCAGCAGUGGGGAAUAUUGCACAAUGGGGAAAACCCUGAUGCAGCGACGCCGCGUGAGCGAAGAAGUAUUUCGGUAUGUAAAGCUCUAUCAGCAGGGAAGAUAAUGACGGUACCUGACUAAGAAGCCCCGGCUAACUACGUGCCAGCAGCCGCCGCU
RNAcentral lists this ribosomal RNA (494 nucleotides) under uncultured bacterium. RNAcentral's name for it is "bacterial SSU rRNA". It matches the Rfam family "Bacterial small subunit ribosomal RNA", at positions 28 to 522 of the family's 1533-position model. The record is from RNAcentral.